This 478-nucleotide ribosomal RNA is filed under the name uncultured Methanomicrobiaceae archaeon. RNAcentral describes it as "bacterial SSU rRNA". It matches the Rfam family "Archaeal small subunit ribosomal RNA", at positions 539 to 1016 of the family's 1478-position model. Lineage: Archaea; Methanobacteriati; Methanobacteriota; Methanomicrobia; Methanomicrobiales; Methanomicrobiaceae. The record is from RNAcentral.
CUCUGGGGAAAUCUUCCGGCUUAACCGGAAGGCGUCUCAGGGAUACUGGCAGACUAGGGACCGGGAGAGGUGAGGGGUACUCCAGGGGUAGGAGUGAAAUCCUGUAAUCCUUGGGGGACCACCUGUGGCGAAGGCGCCUCACCAGAACGGCUCCGACAGUGAGGGACGAAAGCUGGGGGAGCAAACCGGAUUAGAUACCCGGGUAGUCCCAGCCGUAAACGAUGUGCAUUAGGUGUAUCGGUGACCACGAGUCACCGAGGUGCCGAAGAGAAAUCGUGAAAUGCACCGCCUGGGAAGUACGGUCGCAAGGCUGAAACUUAAAGGAAUUGGCGGGGGAGCACCACAACAGGUGGAGCCUGCGGUUUAAUCGGACUCAACGCCGGGAAACUCACCAGGUAAGACAGCUGAAUGAUAGUCGGGCUGAAGACUCUACUUGACUAGCUGAGAGGAGGUGCAUGGCCGUCGUCAGUUCGUACUG